RNAcentral lists this ribosomal RNA (253 nucleotides) under uncultured bacterium. RNAcentral describes it as "partial 16S ribosomal RNA". It matches the Rfam family "Bacterial small subunit ribosomal RNA", at positions 524 to 776 of the family's 1533-position model. The record is from RNAcentral.
UACGUAGGGUGCGAGCGUUGUCCGGAAUUAUUGGGCGUAAAGGGCUCGUAGGCGGUUUGUCGCGUCGGGAGUGAAAACGCCGGGCUUAACUCGGUGCUUGCUUUCGAUACGGGCAGACUAGAGGCAUGCAGGGGAGAACGGAAUUCCUGGUGUAGCGGUGAAAUGCGCAGAUAUCAGGAGGAACACCGGUGGCGAAGGCGGCGACCUGGACAAGUACUGACACUCAACUACGAAAGCGUGGGGAGCAAACAGG